Lontra canadensis (Northern American river otter) is the source of this 1440-nucleotide long non-coding RNA. RefSeq lists it as uncharacterized. The transcript is spliced from 3 exons. NCBI's taxonomy places the organism in Eukaryota, Metazoa, Chordata, Mammalia, Carnivora, Mustelidae. The record is from RefSeq and is a predicted model, not a curated record.
AACUGAAUUUAAAUAAAGAAUUUAAUAAUAGAAAAAAAAAAUAGCGCCAUAGCUGCAAAACAGGAGGAAAGAUUGUAUUUUAGAAAUAAAUAGCAGCAAGUGUAGAAAGAAAAGGAAAGCAUUUUGGUUUUAUUUUUUUAAGCAGCAUAAUAAUUCUGAUACCAACAUCUAAUAUAGAUGGCAAACAAAACCACAAAUCAACUUCACUUAAGAUCAUUGAUUUCCAAACCCUAAACAGUUUUUAAGGAAUGCAGGGAACAGUCAGCAUUACUCUGUUGAUGUAAUUUAUCACCAUGCUGGAUUAAAGGAAUUCUCCGUAACCAUUCAAAUAUAAGGUAUAUGUAUAUGUGUGGAUAUGGAAACAAAUCACCCAUUUGUAUUAUUAAUUUAAGAAUGCAAGGUCUAGAACUAAAUACACUUUGUUCCUGUUUGUGUCAGAAAAAAUUUUCUCUAUGUGGAGAACACAAGUUCUAUGUUCUACAUAGAACUAUGUGUGUAUGUGUGUAUGAGCACACACAUAGUUAUGUUUAUUGUAUAAAGAUAAUUUCUGCAAGGAUAAGAGCAACUUUUACAGUGAUUGACUCUAGAAGGAUUAGGGUGGAGGGAAGAUACUCUUUAAAAAAAUUUUUUUUUUUUUACCAUAUCAGUUUUUAAAUUGUGUGCAUUUAAUUCUUUUAAAAUAAAUUAGUUUUAAAAUGGCAAAUCUGUGUCAGAAUAAUCUCUCCAAGAGUUUGGUAAUUAAUUCUCCGGUCCUGUUAUACUGCUUUACUCCACUGAUUAUCAAAGGUGCAUGUAGGCAAGUGUAGAUGGAGGGCACCACAGGGCCAGGAGCUCUAGAGGGAUUUAGCUCUUAAUAGCAGUUAGCAUGUGACUAAUGACAGUUUGUUCAGUCAUUAGGGAACAAUUGAUAAAAAUAAACAAAUUCCAGUAGGAUGUGUGUACAUCUUUUUUACCUGUUCAUCUAUCAGUGGACACAUAGCUUGCUUCCCUAUCUUAGCUAAGUAUUUAUUAUAUUUAACCCUUUACCUACUAGAAAUAUGAGUAUGUAAAUAACAAAUGUUGAAAUUGUUUAUAAUUUUUAAAUUUCUUUAAUCAGGUUUUAUAAUUCAUAACAUCUAAUUCCAAUUUAAUUAAUAAACUGUAGGUUUUCUUUAUGUGUAUAGCCUCUGAGGGCAUUCAAACCAAAGGGAUUUAUUCCUGAUUUUUAAAAUAUAGCUGUCAUAUUUUCUAUGGGCCAAGUCACUAUAUUUAAAUGAGAAUGGAACUGAAGUUUCUUUAUGCCCCUAUCAAAUCACUUUAUUAUUAAUAAGUGUUUCUUGUUAUUGUCUAGAUUGUGUGUAUGGUCUGUUGUCAAACUAGAAGUGAAAAAAGAGAUAGAAAAAGUAAUAGGGGCACCUGGGUGGCUCAGUUGGUUAAGCAACUGCCUUCGGCUCAGGUCAU